RNAcentral lists this ribosomal RNA (439 nucleotides) under uncultured bacterium. Its description in RNAcentral is "bacterial SSU rRNA". It matches the Rfam family "Bacterial small subunit ribosomal RNA", at positions 954 to 1392 of the family's 1533-position model. The record is from RNAcentral.
GCAUAACGCGAAGAACCUUACCUGGCCUUGACAUUGAUAGAAUCUGCUAGAGAUAGCGGAGUGCCCUUCGGGGAGCUUGAAAACAGGUGCUGCACGGCUGUCGUCAGCUCGUGUCGUGAGAUGUUGGGUUAAGUCCCGCAACGAGCGCAACCCUCGUCACUAGUUACUAACGGUUCGGCCGAGGACUCUAGUGGGACUGCCUUCGUAAGGAGGAGGAAGGUGAGGACGACGUCAAGUCAUCAUGGCCCUUACGGCCAGGGCGACACACGUGCUACAAUGGGAUGUACAAUGAGACGCAAUACCGCGAGGUGGAGCAAAUCUAUAAAACAUCUCUCAGUUCGGAUUGUAGUCUGCAACUCGACUACAUGAAGCUGGAAUCACUAGUAAUCGUAGAUCAGCCAUGCUACGGUGAAUACGUUCCCGGGUCUUGUACACACCG